UACGGGGGAGGCAAGCGUUGUUCGGAAUUACUGGGCGUAAAGGGCUCGUAGGCGGCCAACUAAGUCAUACGUGAAAUCCCCCGGCUUAACCGGGGAACUGCGUCUGAUACUGGAUGGCUUGAGUUUGGGAGAGGGAUGCGGAAUUCCAGGUGUAGCGGUGAAAUGCGUAGAUAUCUGGAGGAACACCGGUGGCGAAGGCGGCAUCCUGGACCAACACUGACGCUGAGUGAGCGAAAGCCAGGGGAGCAAACGGG
Molecule: ribosomal RNA, 254 nt
Filed under: uncultured bacterium
Lineage: Bacteria
Description: partial 16S ribosomal RNA
Rfam family: Bacterial small subunit ribosomal RNA
Source: RNAcentral